CGUCCUUCAGCUGGCCCCUAAACAAAUAUAUACUAGUUCAGUGAUAAUGAACACCAAACUAAACUCCAAAUUGUACACAAGAAACUAAAAGUUAAAAUAAUACAAGACUAACAAAGGCCAGAGGCUCCUGACUUGGGACAGGCGCAAAAAUGCGGCGGGGUUAAACAUGUUUGUGAGAUCUCAACCCUCCCCCUGUGCCUCUAGCCAAUGCAGAAAAGUAAACGCAUAACAAUACGCAC
Molecule: long non-coding RNA, 239 nt
Filed under: Mytilus galloprovincialis (Mediterranean mussel)
Lineage: Eukaryota; Metazoa; Mollusca; Bivalvia; Mytilida; Mytilidae
Source: RNAcentral